RNAcentral lists this long non-coding RNA (7014 nucleotides) under Gossypium barbadense (sea-island cotton). RNAcentral's name for it is "long non-coding RNA (GBAR_LNC017737)". Lineage: Eukaryota; Viridiplantae; Streptophyta; Magnoliopsida; Malvales; Malvaceae. The record is from RNAcentral.
GGCCAUAUUCAUUAUCUUUGUGCCGAAUGAAAAGAGAAAGAAAAUAAGAAAACCAAGCUAUGUAUUCGGCCCUUGCUCAAGCAAAUUAAGGUAUGUUUCGGUUUCGGUUUUUGAUGAUUUUUAUGUUUUUGAGAUCGUUGUUUCGAAUACUACUCGACCCAUGCUUAAAUUUUUGAAUUUGAUGAUGAUUUUGUGUUUUGCCAUUGUUGAAAGCUUGUAAUUUUGUUGUUUAAUGAUAGAAAAUAAAAUAUAUGAAAUGGAUAUAUAUAUAUAUGUUGAAAUUGAAUUUUUAAUGAUUUUGAGUAAUUAAGGCUAAAUUGUAAAAAUAAUAAAUUGAGGAACUAAAAUAUGAAAUAAAUGACAUGCAUGGAUUUAUAUGAGCUUAGUGCAUAUUCGGCCAAGCUAUUGUGCAAGGAAAGUUUGUUUAUUUUGUAUUUUUUGUGAAAUAGGGACUAAUUUGUGAAAAAUGUGAAAUGUUAGGGGAAAAAGUGUAAUUUUCCCAUUUAUGUGUUUUUGGAUUUAAUUAAAUGAAUAUGUGGUUAAAUUAGUUAAAUUUGAACUUAUUUAGAUCAAGAAUAGAAGAAAACGGAAUUAGAUCGGGGAAAGUCGAAAGUAGUCGACUAUGUUCGUCGAUAUCCGAGGUAAGUCUAUUAGCAAUUUAAAAGUUAAUAAAUCAAUAUUUAUACAUGUAUAUCGAUUGUAUACUUGAUGAGUUGUAAUUAAAUGUUUAUAAUUUGAAGUAUAAGUAUAAAUUUUAUAUAAGUAUUUAAUAGUUUCAAAUAUACAAGUAUAAUCUUGUAUAAGUUCAUGAGUUAAAUUAUAGGUUUAAAUUUUAUAUAAGUAAAGGUGAGAUUCGGAUAGGCAUGUAUAUAUAUGAAAAUCUAUUGUAAUGAAAUUAGGUAAGAAAUUAUACUUGUAUAUGAUAGAUUCAAAAAUAUAUGUAAUAGAAUGAAUAAACCUUGAAUUUAGAUAAAGGUAUGAGUAUGUAUAUAUAUAUUUAUAAUUAUAUACAUAAUGAUCGAAUAUAUAUACAUAUGUAUACAUAUAUAUAUAGUUUUUGAAUUUAGUGGAAGUAUGAAUGUUGUAUAUGUAUGAAUUCUUGGUUUUAAUCCAAGAUAAGUAUGAUAUAUACAUAUAUAUGUACAUUAUGUCCGAAUAUAUGUAUAUAAAUAUAUAUGUAUAAGCUCUUAGAUUUGAUUAAGAUAUGUAACUUAUAUUUGUAUAUGUGAGUUGGUAAUUAUAUAUAUAUUAUAUUUGAAUGAACAGGUAUACAUACACGUAUAUGAUUUUAUAGUGAAUUUAGGUAUGACAAUUAUACAAGGUUACAUGAGGUUCGAUUAUGCUAAUAUACAAGUAUAUAUUCAUGUAAAGUUCUUGAAUAGCAUUGAAAGUAUGAAAUUAUUAGUUGGAUUAUUAAAAGAUGAUCGAAUAUAUGAUAUUAGUAGUAGAUUAAUGCAUUAAGUUAUAUAUAUAUAGGUUUGGAUGUAUAAUUAAAUUAUUGAGCUGGAAUUGAUGUUUGAACUUUAUACAUCUAUGUUAUUUAAAGAUAUAGUUUAUAAAUUAUUGAGCUGAAUUUUAUGUGGAUUCUAUAUACAAAUAUGAGAUACAACUUCUGUGAAUUGAGAUUUUUUUUAAAGCUUAGUACCAAUCAGAUUAAUUGCCGGUGAAAUGUUUCAGACUUUACGUCUAGCAGGCUAAGUGCCGAUGAACUGAAUCAGGCUAUAAGCCUAGCGGGCUAAGUACCGGUGAACUGAAUCAGGUUAUAAGCCUAGCAGGUGAAGUGCCAGUGAAUCUGUUUAAAUUAAGUGAUUAUAUGCAUUGGGUAUAUAUAUAUAUAUGAUUUUGGUUAUAUGUAAUGGAUAAAUAUAUGAACAUUUGUUUCAAUGUAUUUGAUGAGCAUAUAAACGUUCGGAUCUUUGUGAUUAGUGAGUAUGUACAUAUAUUGGUUGUCAUGAAAUUGUUGGAUAUAUAUAUAUACAUUCGGCCAAAUGUUAAACUUAUGUGUAUUUGGUUAAAUAUGGAUUUGAUGUAUAGUACGUGUUUGAUAAAUGUAUUUUUCGAUUAUGGAAAUGUAUAUGAAUAUUGAAAACAUGAUUUGAUUUUGUUGUAACUAAUUAAAUGUUGUUAAGUUAUCUAUUUGCUUAUGACUUACUAAGCUGUAAUAGCUUACUCUGUGUGUUUUUCUUAUAUUUUUAGAGUUCUAAAGACUUGCUCGGGUUGGAAGACGUUGGAAUCGUGAUCACACUAUCCGGUUAUGGCUUUGGUAAAUUAAAGCUUUGAGUUUUUGGUUAUGUGGCAUGUAUAGGCUAGUUUUAAUUUAGUUUUUGUAUAUAUAUUUAGCCAUGUGAAAAUGGCUUGAUCUAAUGCUAAUGAUCCAAGGUUUAAGUAAUUUUGGUCAUAGUAAAGGCGUGGGGUAUGCUUGGUAUAUGAAUUUGGUAAGACGUAAUGAUAUAUAUAUGUGUGUCUUUGAUAAGUUAUUUGAUAAUUCGGUAUGUAAAGGACUAAUGGUUUUAAUGCUUGAAUUACAAAAUGUGUUAUAUGUCUACAUAGUGGUAUGAUCGAUUAUGGUAAUUGACUUAUUAUUGUAAGUAUGAAAUAUUUGCAUUGGGUGUGUAUAUGAAAUUUUGAUAUGAGUUAUACUGUAUGAAAUUGGCAUAUUUUGAAUGGCUAAAGUACUUGGAAAAUGGCUAAUGUUAGUCAAGUGAAUAAAGUAUGUAUUGGUUUUAUAUGUAUUUUAGGCUUAAUAAUUAGCAUGCGAAUUGAGUGUAAAUUGUAUGGUUAGUUUGCUAGCCAAAUAGAAGAUAAGAUGAAUGGAAAAGCAUACACAUGUUUUGUACUUAAAUGGGAAGUUAGGCAUGUAUGACUUAUUAGUUGAGUUUAAAAAAAAAAAAGUGGUGCAUAGUUGAUAAGGUUAAAUGCAUUAGUGGCUAAGAUGUUUAUAUGCUAAACUUGACUAUUUGGUGAAAUUGAUUAUGUUAUAUUUUCUAAUGGACAAUAAGCCGAGCGAUAUGGAUUGUUUGGUUUUAUGCACAUGAAUAGAAGUAUGAAUUGAUAUAUUUGAUAUUCAGCUUAAGAAGUAAAAUAUGCUUGGAUGUCUUAAUGUAUGUGCAUGGAAUUUAUAAUGUGAUGAGUCAUCUUAUAAUUUGAUUUUGAAUGAUAUAAGUAAGAGGUAUAUAUGUUUCGAAUGAUGGGAUUUUAAAGCAUGUGUAAUAUGACUAUUUUGAGCCGUGUUUUAUAUGGUAAUGCCUUGUAACCUUAUUCCGGCGACGGAUAUAGGUUAUGGGUGUUACAGUAUCGGAUUAGUAGAUUCUCGUAAACGAACAAGUGUCGAGGUAAGUUCGUGUAACUAAAUUGUGUACAUUUAUAUGUUUGAAUUAAAUGGUAUAUAUGUGAAUUGUAUAAUUUCCAUGUAUAUAAAAUUGAUUAAAUACCCGAAAAUGCCUGAUAAAUGUUAAGUUCCGUUUGAACAAAUGAAAAUCGACAAAUACAAGUUUCAUGUAUUGGUUGUAGUCCUGCAUAUGUUGCGGACACAACACAGCUCGAAAGAGCGUCCAUUUAUUAGCCCUCUCGAGCUUCCUGUUAUAUGGUUCUUGCGAGUUUUUCGUUAAUAGCUCUUCGGAGCAUCCCGAUUGGUUGUGAUCCUAUAUGUGUUGUGGACACACCACAACUCUUAUGAGCUUCCUGAUUAUGGCUCUUUGUGAGCUUCCCGUUAAUUGGCUCUUUGUGAGCUUCCCAAUAAGGCUCACUUGGACUUCUCGAUAUUAAGCUAUCCGGUGCUUCCUGUUAAUGGCUCUUCGGAGCUACUCGAUAUUGGAUCGCAUGAGCUUCCUGAAUAUGGCUCUUAUAAGCUUCCCUUUACAUGGCUCACAUGAGCUUCCCGUUAUAUGGCUCGAGAGAGUGUUUCCUGUUUAAGUGUUCUUAUAAACACUCUUGAAUAUGAAUUGACGAAUUACAGAUUCGUACACUUCAUGUGUACUACCCGAUGUCUAUCGAUAUUUCAUAAGGUUCAAUGAGCAAAGUCCUGAUAUAAGUUAAGAUAAGGUCUGAAUGAAUUAAUAAUUGUAUCUACCUGAAAAUACAUGGAAAUGUUUAUACUAUGAGUUCAUCUCUGUUACUUACUUGAAAUGCAUUUGAAAUAUAUGACUAACUUGUUUGAGGAUGUAUAUGUGUUAGGUUAUUGAUUAAUUUGAUUUGGAUGUACUUUGUAUGCUUAUUUUAAAUGAAUAUGAAUGGUAAGUCAUUUUAUCGUUAUACGAACUUACUAAGCAUUAAAUGCUUACUUUGUUUUAUUUUCUCUAUUUUAUAGUACUCGGAAGCUCGUAAAGGUUGGAGCGGGUCGGAGCAAGAUCACACUAUCCUUCAGCUCUUUUUGGUAUAAAUAGUAAACUUUAAUUAGGAUAUAAUGACAUGUAUAGGUUAAAUUGGUUAAUUGUUGGCGUACACAUGUUUUGGUUGUAAAUAGCCAUUGGAAUGGCUUGUAAUGGUCAUGUUUUGAUAUAUAUACAUAUGGUAUUAUCAUGUUUGAAUUAUGAAUAUGAUUAUGUAUAUAUGCAUUUGGUAUCUAGGUAAGUAUAAGUUUUAGAAUAACACAAUAAUAAAUUGUCUAUUGGGAAGCCUAAGGGUACAUUAGUUGUAUGUGUAAAAUGUCAAGAUUAAGACUUGGUUUUGGCUUAGUUUGAAUGUCUUGAAUUGGUUGGUGAAUGUGUUAAAAUGUUGAUGCAGGUGGAAGACAAGUUUGGGUGAGAAAUAAUGCUUGGAAAUGGCCUUACUUUGUCCACAUGGGCAGAGACACGGGUGUGUGUCUCAGCCCUGUGUGACACACGGCCUAGUACAUGGGCAUGUGUUUCGGUCGUGUGUCACUUGCAUCUUAAAAUUUUAAAACAGAAUGCUUAGGUAUUUUCACACGGGCAGAGACACGGGUGUGUGUCUCAGCCGUGUGAACUCUGCACCUUAAUUAUGCAAGUCAGUAGGCUCACACAGCCUAGCAUACGGGCGUGUGGCUAGGCCGUGUGACUAAGUCAGUAUGCAACCUAAUUUGGACACAGGCUGGAACACGGUCGUGUGCCUCACAUUGAAUGCCCACACGGCCUGAGACACGGGUGUGUCACUUGGCCAUGUGAUCCACAUGGCCUGGCCACACGAGCGUGUGUCUAUUGCACAUAAGGAAAAUUUUGAAAUUUCGCGAAAAAUUUCCUGAUUUCUCGGUUUAGUCCCGACUUGUUUCUAAUGCAUAAUUUGGGUCUCGAGGGUCCAUUUGAGGGACAAUAUGAUUGAUUAUGUAUGAUUUCAGAUAUGAAUGAUAAAUGUUAUGAAUUAACUAUAUUUGUUCUGUAAAUUUUGGUAAUGCUCUGUAACCCUGAUCCGUCGAUGGAUACGGGUUAGGGUGUUAUAUUUCCUUCUUUAAUUUUCCUUCUUUUAAUUCCUUAUUUUUAAAAUUUUCAAAUAUGAUUUUGUGGUUUUUUAAAUUAUAUUUAUUUCUAGGAAUAAUUAAAUAAAUUGCAAUUGACAUAAAAAUGCAAAUCAUUUUUAACAAAAGUUGUAAUAUGAAAAUUAUAAAGAAAAUUAAUAAUGCUAAAAUUUUGAGGUCAUGAGAGCUUUUGAUUUAGCUAACUCAUGUAUCAAUUUGUAAAACUGUUAAAGUUUUUGAAAGUUUUCAUUGUUGAUUUCUUGAAGAAAUUGGUAUGAAAUUGAUAGAUUUUAAGCUUAAAUUAUGAAAAGGACUAGAUUGUAAUGUUUAAUUAUUAGUUUUGUACAUGUGGACUAAAGUGAAUAAAAUAUAUUUUUUUUGUAAAAUUUUAGUAUAAAUAGAUAGUAGAGGGUCUCUAAUGAAUAUAAUUGAAGUUAGUUUUCAAACCGAGGCUCAAAAUGGAAAGAUAUGGUUAUUUCAAAUUUAAGGACUAAAUUGAAUAAUAUGUAAAAUUUUAGGGGUAUCAAAAAAUGAGAUUAUUUAGGUUCAUUCAUGUCAUGGCAUAAUGUAUGAAUGUUGGGUAUUGAUGAAUUGAAUGGAAUAAUUGUAUAAAUCAAGAAUUGGAUCAAAUUGGAAGUAAUUGAGGAAAAACCAAAAUUGUUGAUUAGUCCCUAAAAGUUUAACUUGUUUGGUAUUUUGAUUAGGUAAGUUCAUAUGGUAUUUAUAACUUAGAUUGUAUGUAUUUGAAUUAUAUAUAUGUUUGGUUGUAAAUUAAAGUGGUUGUGAAUUGAUAUAAAAGGUAAAAAUUGGACUAAAUAAAAAAGUGAUGAUUAUAUGUGUAAUAGAUGCCUGUGUGAACUUACUAAAUGUUAGGAUACGAUUGGCAUGUCAAUAGGGUCUUCUGCGCGCUUGUACCAGAUUGAUUACAAAUGUUGCCAAGGUCCAACAUUUAUUACAGAUUCUCAAUUAUAUGUGACAUAGGUCUAGCUCGGACGAGUAACUUGAUGUCGUUUUAAAGAUUUAGCCCGGACGGGUAACCUAACAUAUAUAUAUUUAGCUCGGAUAAGAAAAUGGUGUGGUGUAGAUACUUGUGUAUCCGAGCCCGUUUACUAGGGUCCAUUGAGUGAAACAGUUUAUAUGAAACGAGAAAUUGAAAUGGAAUGAUAUGAACUUGACUAUCAAAUGGUGAGUUGUUGAAUGAAUAAUGCAAGAGAUAUUGAUUUGAGUAAGGCCAUUAAUAUGUAUAUGAAUGUAAUAUCCUUUGAAUGAGUAUGAAAUUUAAAUUGUUACCUAUUGUGUCAUGAUUUGGCAUAUUGAACACUUGUGGUAUUAUAUGUAGUUUGAUUUUAAGCUAAUGCUCACCUUGUUGAUGUUUUGAUUUGUCAUGUCUAGUCAAACUAUGCCAAAGUGUGGUAGCUUAUUGUAUUUAAUUGAAAGAUAAUGUAAGUUUUAUUUAAUUCCUAUGAACUUACUAAGCAUUUCACAUGCUUACCUAAUUUGUUCUCUUUUCCUUGUAGAUCAUCACCUUGUGGAACACGUCAAGCCGAAUCGUCCCGAAGCUUACACUAUCCCCAAUUCGGUAGCUAUUUGGUCAUUUUGAGUCUAGG